CCUNUGGUGGCGCACGGGUGCGUAACGCGUGGGAAUCUGCCCCUUGGUUCGGAAUAACAGUUAGAAAUGACUGCUAAUACCGGAUAACGACGUAAGUCCAAAGAUUUAUCGCCGAGGGAUGAGCCCGCGUAGGAUUAGCUAGUUGGUGUGGUAAAGGCGCACCAAGGCGACGAUCCUUAGCUGGUCUGAGAGGAUGAUCAGCCACACUGGGACUGAGACACGGCCCAGACUCCUACGGGAGGCAGCAGUGGGGAAUAUUGGACAAUGGGCGAAAGCCUGAUCCAGCAAUGCCGCGUGAGUGAUGAAGGCCUUAGGGUUGUAAAGCUCUUUUACCUGGGAAGAUAAUGACUGUACCGGGAGAAUAAGCCCCGGCUAACUCCGUGCCAGCAGCCGCGGUAAU
RNAcentral lists this ribosomal RNA (400 nucleotides) under uncultured bacterium. Its description in RNAcentral is "bacterial SSU rRNA". It matches the Rfam family "Bacterial small subunit ribosomal RNA", at positions 89 to 524 of the family's 1533-position model. The record is from RNAcentral.